This 460-nucleotide ribosomal RNA is filed under the name uncultured bacterium. RNAcentral's name for it is "partial 16S ribosomal RNA". It matches the Rfam family "Bacterial small subunit ribosomal RNA", at positions 338 to 795 of the family's 1533-position model. The record is from RNAcentral.
UCUACGGGCGGCAGCAGUGAGGAAUAUUGGUCAAUGGCCGGAAGGCUGAACCAGCCAAGCCGCGUGAGGGAGGAAGGCGCAGAGCGUCGCAGACCUCUUUUGUCGGGGGACAAAAGGCCGGUCUCGUCCGGUCCUGAGGGUACCCGGAGAAAAAGCAUCGGCUAACUCCGUGCCAGCAGCCGCGGUAAUACGGAGGGGGCGAGCGUUAUCCGGAUUCACUGGGUGUAAAGGGAGCGUAGACGGCCAUGCAAGCCAGGGGUGAAAGCCCGGGGCCCAACCCCGGGACUGCCCUUGGAACUGCAUGGCUGGAGUGCGGGAGGGGCAGGCGGAAUUCCUGGUGUAGCGGUGAAAUGCGUAGAUAUCAGGAGGAACACCGGCGGCGAAGGCGGCCUGCUGGACUGCGACUGACGUUGAGGCUCGAAAGCGUGGGGAGCGAACAGGAUUAGAUACCCUAGUAGUC